Pogona vitticeps (central bearded dragon) is the source of this 463-nucleotide non-coding RNA. Lineage: Eukaryota; Metazoa; Chordata; Lepidosauria; Squamata; Agamidae. The record is from RefSeq and is a predicted model, not a curated record.
AGGGGUCAAUCCUCACCUAGUAUUUUAGGAUGAGUUGUCCAGCGAUUUGAUCAAUGGGCCACCUAUGGCUUGAACUCACACCUACCUUCAUGUUAUGAUCACCAUUGAUCAUAAAGCAGGGGGCUGGACUCAAUGGCCUUAUAAGCCCCUUCCAACUCUAUGAUUCUAUGAUUCACAUACCUACUAAUUACCCAGCUGGAGAAAUGGGAUGCUACACACCUGGCAACCGUACCGAUAAUACCCCGCCCAUGCCACCAGUUUUAGAUCCGGGAAUGGGACUAGUACCACACAGCUGUUGUACCAGGACUGAAAUUUGAGAAGGAGCAAAGGAGGUUUCAGGAAGGUCUGCCACAUGCUGACUGGUGUAAUGGGAUUACGAGCCACUUCUGACCUUUUCUCCACUUCAAAAGAUACAGCAAACAUAUCUUUUUCCUGAAGGGCUUCAUUAGAACCUUCCUGCAUU